GUCUACGGCCAUACCACCCUGAACGCGCCCGAUCUCGUCUGAUCUCGGAAGCUAAGCAGGGUCGGGCCUGGUUAGUACUUGGAUGGUAGAGUGGGCUUGUUUGUUGUCAUUC
RNAcentral lists this ribosomal RNA (112 nucleotides) under Canis lupus dingo (dingo). The record is from RNAcentral. Lineage: Eukaryota; Metazoa; Chordata; Mammalia; Carnivora; Canidae.